CUUUCUCUCUCUCUCUCUCUCGCUCUCUCUGCUAUAUUUAGUACAAUGAGGUUGGCUCAUUAAAGAAAGACAAAAAGUCUGUCUCCCUCCCUCUCCUUUUCCUUCUCUGACUCCCUUCAUCUCUCUUUCCUCUGUAAGUGGUCUAUGUGAGGAGAGUAGACUCCUUGGUCACAGAGUGUGGGUGUGAAAUGCUUCAUUAUAUUCAAUUAACUGACAGGUCACAGUCAUAUAUGCUGUUAAAUCAAUUCUCAAUAUUAAGUGUUAUUAUCAUGGGUGAACGGCCCUAAACAGUGUCCCAUGCAUUCAUUGUCAGUGGGGUUUGUAAACCAACCCGGAUGUAAUAUAAUUCUGGCCACAUGUUGACUCAGUCGCGCUUCUCCAUGCGGGAGGGACGUACACUCUGUAAACAGGAAUGGAAAGCUAAAGUUAACUAGUUAGUCACAGAUAUGUACGUUCAGCCUGUUAAUUAUUUCAGUCCGAGUUGUCUUAUCUUACGAAGUCAGCACGGCUUAACAUAGUUCAUUUAGUUUUUGACCUCGACAUUGUUGCUGGAAAGAUACUUUCUUAACUAACAUGCUGGCGCUGCUAGCUAGCUAAUGCUAACGGCGCUAGCUAACCUCAUAUCUGGAUGCCUCACUCUAGUUCCCGAGAGAGCAGCAUACUGAUCUUUCCACCUGCUCAGUGGGUGACAGGUCUUUCCACCAAGCUGUUCCAGGCCUGGAGUGGCAUGCUGGAACUUCCAGAGGCUUCUACACCUGAAGCAUUGUGAUGUGGUCCAGAUCUGCCAGCCCCAGCAGUUCAGCUGCAGUCUCAGCAGUCCUCUGCUGUGGUCUUUCAUUUACCGGCUGCACCAGUUCCUACUACACUGGCCGUGAAGGGAGGAACUGUUGAGGAGACCCAGAUGGAUACAGAUCUGCCUGACAGCCUCACCCAGAAGACACUGGGCCUAUCAAGACUGACAAAGCAGAGAUGGGUGGCUGACAAGGAAAAAUAAAACACAACACACACAUUAUCCACAAUGUAAAUACAUUGUAAUUACUUGUUUAUUUCAUGUUUGCUGCAUUUUAUUUGAGGAUUGGAGAGAUCUACUCCUUCAUAUCCAUUCUUAAUAUCUACAUAAUUACUCUCCAUAUCUAUCAAAUCAAAGGGGGAUUGAUAAUAUUGUAAAAGACUAUGGCUUAAUGUUUACAGUUUGAGGAAAUUGUGUGUGCUUUUUUUCUAAGUUGAAGAACAUGCCUCUCUCAACACAGACACACAUUCGACCCAAUGUAAAUACAUGGUUUAUUUUAUCUCUGCUCCAUUUUAUUUGGAGAUUGUGUGAAAUAAAAUAUAUUCACAGCUAAAGCAACAGUUUGGUUUAUUGGAUAUUUCUCUGAUUUUAAAAUGAAUGACCAAAAAGAAAGGAAGUCGGCAGCCCUGCAACCCUCUGGGAGUGUGCAGGUUUUGUCAUCUGCAGUUGAAACAGGGCCCCAACAACCCUCACAAAUGUACAGGGUUCCCAGGAGUAGCAGGCAAAUAUGUUUGUCUUGCAAACGUUUUUUAAUGUACCAAAGCCAUUCCCUGGCUACCCAUCCACAUCGCUCAGGCCAAACUAAACGUUUGUUCUCCACAAUGAAUGUUUGUACAUUUCAGGGUAAAUCAUCAGGCAAUCAAGGCCAAGGAAUGGAGAGAGAGAGAGAGAUGACCUGGAGGGAGUUUCAGCCUCAGUUAUUUAUGCAGCAAAAAAGCGGAGAUGGG
This 1737-nucleotide long non-coding RNA is filed under the name Salmo salar (Atlantic salmon). Its description in RNAcentral is "lncRNA (ENSSSAG00000096662.1)". The record is from RNAcentral. Lineage: Eukaryota; Metazoa; Chordata; Actinopteri; Salmoniformes; Salmonidae.